Molecule: small nuclear RNA, 110 nt
Filed under: Colobus angolensis palliatus
Lineage: Eukaryota; Metazoa; Chordata; Mammalia; Primates; Cercopithecidae
Source: RNAcentral
GUGCUCACCUCGGAGGCACAUAUACUAAACUUGGAAUGAUACAGAGAAGAUUAUUAGUAUGGCCCCUGCAAAAGGAUGACACGCAAAUUCAUGAAGUGUUCCAUAUUUUU